RNAcentral lists this ribosomal RNA (301 nucleotides) under uncultured bacterium. RNAcentral's name for it is "partial 16S ribosomal RNA". It matches the Rfam family "Bacterial small subunit ribosomal RNA", at positions 509 to 807 of the family's 1533-position model. The record is from RNAcentral.
CAGCAGCCGCGGGAAUACGAAGGGGGCUAGCGUUGUUCGGAAUUACUGGGCGUAAAGGGCGCGUAGGCGGCCAUUCAAGUUAGAUGUGAAAGCCCUGGGCUCAACCUAAGAAUUGCAUUUGAUACUGUUUGGCUUGAGUUCGGGAGAGGUGAGUGGAAUUCCCAGUGUAGAGGUGAAAUUCGUAGAUAUUGGGAAGAACACCAGUGGCGAAGGCGGCUCACUGGACCGACACUGACGCUGAGGCGCGAAAGCGUGGGGAGCAAACAGGAUUAGAUACCCGUGUAGUCCCUGUCUCUUAUAC